Molecule: ribosomal RNA, 253 nt
Filed under: uncultured bacterium
Lineage: Bacteria
Description: partial 16S ribosomal RNA
Rfam family: Bacterial small subunit ribosomal RNA
Source: RNAcentral
UACGGAGGGGGCUAGCGUUGUUCGGAAUUACUGGGCGUAAAGCGCACGUAGGCGGUUUCUCAAGUCAGAGGUGAAAGCCCGGAGCUCAACUCCGGAAUAGCCUUUGAAACUAGGAAACUUGAACGUCGGAGAGGUGAGUGGAAUUCCGAGUGUAGAGGUGAAAUUCGUAGAUAUUCGGAGGAACACCAGUGGCGAAGGCGGCUCACUGGUCCGGUACUGACGCUGAGGUGCGAAAGCGUGGGGAGCAAACAGG